GAUGAAGAACGCAGCGAAAUGCGAUAAGUAAUGCGAAUUGCAGAAUUCCGUGAGUCAUCGAAUCUUUGAACGCACAUUGCGCCCUCUGGUAUUCCGGGGGGCAUGCCUGUCCGAGCGUCAUUGCAACCCUCAAGCGCGGCUUGUGUGUUGGGCUUCGUCCCCCCGUGGACGUGCCCGAAAGGCAGUGGCGGCGUCCCGAAUGGUGCCCGAGCGUAUGGGAACUCUCUUCCGCUCGAACCGGCCCAUUCGGCGCUGGUCGAACCCCAAUUUUUUUUUACCGGUUGACCUCGGAUCAGGUAGGGAUACCCGCUGAACUUAAGCAUAUCAAUAAGCGGAGGA
Molecule: unclassified non-coding RNA, 339 nt
Filed under: soil metagenome
Description: partial contains 5.8S ribosomal RNA, internal transcribed spacer 2, and large subunit ribosomal RNA
Rfam family: 5.8S ribosomal RNA (bases 1-120)
Source: RNAcentral